GAUGAACGCUGGCGGCGUGCUUAACACAUGCAAGUCGAGCGAACAGACGAGGCGCUUGCUGCUCUGUCGUUAGCGGCGGACGGGUGAGACACACGUGGAUAACCCACCUAUCUGACUUGGACAACUUCGGGAAACUGUAGCACAUACCGGAUAAUAUCUUGAACCGCAUGGUUCAAUAGUGAAUGACGGUUUUGCUGUCACCUCUAGAUGGAUCCGCGCCGUAUUAGGUAGUUGGUAAGGCAACGGCUUACCAAGGCAACGAUGCGUAGCCGACCUGAGAGGGUGGUCGGCCACACUGGAACUGAGACACGGUCCAGAGUCCUACGGGAGGCAGCAGUAGGGAUUCGUCCGCAAUGGGCGGAAACCUGACGGAGCAGCGCGGCGUGAGUGAUGAGGGUCUUCGGGUCGUAAAACUCUGUUUUUGGGGAGUAACAAAUGUGUAAGAGGCUAUGCACGUCUUGACGGUACCUAGCCAGAGAGCCACGGCUAACUACGUU
This 497-nucleotide ribosomal RNA is filed under the name uncultured bacterium. Its description in RNAcentral is "partial 16S ribosomal RNA". It matches the Rfam family "Bacterial small subunit ribosomal RNA", at positions 28 to 507 of the family's 1533-position model. The record is from RNAcentral.